UCAGGGCGGGAGAUCAUUUUCUCUCCCUGGCACGCCUCUGCAGCCAUCUGGCUGAGGGGGCUGUUGUUCAAACCUCUGGAUCACGGACUGUUUGUUUUUCAGGAGUUUGCAGCUGAUUAUUUUCAUCAGAUUCCCUACAACCCACUGCGCUGGCUCCCUUUGCAGGCAAACCUGCAUAGCCAGCUCAUCCUCCCGGCCGGGUUCACAGUCCCCUCACAGAGAAGCAGUCGCCGCGCUCUUCCCUAACCGAUGAAGGGGCCCUGGGCCAGGAUGGGGCCUUCGCCUCUGGAUGCCUGGGCCAGCCCGCCAGAUGUUCCGGCUGAUGUCAACUGGAGAGACUGCAGUGAGAGGGGCAUUUGAGAGAUCGGAAAGCCCCUGGUGGCCUGACCAGCUCCAGUGGCCAUCCCAGCUCUGAAAAGGCAGCGUCAACCUUUUCUGAGCAUCUCCAGAGAGGGGGAAUGUGAAGAUCUCAGAGAGGCCUGUUACUCUCGCUGUAUGGCAGCUGGGCCUCCAUUUCCUCCUCUGGGGGUGGGGGACAGUCAAGUUUUAGGUCCCUGGGCUAAUGCAUAUGCAUACAUAUGCCUACACACGUAAUGAUACAGGUAAAAGGCCCAAGGCCGUGUCUGGACAUAGCAGGUUUGCAGUAAAUACCAUGAGUUCUCUUCUUUCACCUCUUCAAAGAUACGAGGCCCUGGCCAUUCUGCUCCACAGCUUCAAGCACAAGCAAGAGGGCUGGUGGUCCUCACCGUGGGAGACAGGGUGCAGAGACUGAGGACUUCCCUUCCAGAUGGGAUAAGAACGCGCAGAGAAAUCCCACCUGAGCAACAAGAAUACACACCCAAGGUCCCUCAGAAUAAGCUUCUGUGUGUGCCAGAUCGCCCAGAAAAUGUAGCCUUUUAUACCAGGUGACCGACCCAGUCCCUUCUGCAGACAGCUGAUGGAGCUCCAAUCCAAGCUGGGCCAAUGAGACUGUCCCUCCCAAGAAUUUGAACUACAGAGGCCUAGUCAAUUGGCAUGCCUUCAUCAAACAUUUGAUGAGCAGCCUCCUCGAACCAUGCCCUGAGCUUGCACAGCUGUAUAUUUUAGCCAAUGUGCUACAAUGCAAGCCUGUCUGAAGUCACCAAGAGGACAAAAUCAAGAUGAGACCAGGCCAGCUUUGCAGAAUCCAGUGGGAGUUUGUUGUCUAUGUGACAGCAGCUGACUAAAGAGAGAGAGGCAAUUUUCCAAAGUUGUAUGUGGAAUAAGAAGUCCCCCCACCUCAUAAUGAUGCCUCCACUGGUCCCCUUCCAAUGCUCCUGCCACCAUAACAAUCCACUCCCGAAUAAGCAGCCCACUCUCAGAAGAGGCAGAAGAAAGUGGAAAGCUUGAGGGGUUCUUUGGGGGCUCCAUCCUGCUCCUAUCUUCUUCUUGGGCCUUUUGGCAUCUUGGUGUUUGCCAAUAAGCCAACCCCAGGUAGACCCAGCCAUCAAUAGCAGGCAUGUAAUCCCAUGCAUCCAGCUUCCAGGGUCCAUACAAAGCUAGAGAAGCAUCUACAUGGCAAACAGCAAUGACGAAGGAUCUUAUCACCAGACAAAUACCUACAACUGUAGUUUUUUUAACCUUGGCUGUGGGAGCUUUUAAAAACCCAAUACCCUACAUCUAAAACCAUAAAAAUCAGAAUCUCUAGGGGUCGGACACAGAUAUCAGCAUUUUUACCUUUAAAAAAAUGAGAUAUACUUGACAUACCUCGGAAAUUUAUAGAACCUAACUAUACAUCUUAAUGUAUUUUUUUAUUAACACAUAAUGUAUUAUUUGUUUCAGGGGUACAGGUCUGUGAUUCAUCAGUCUUACACAAUUCACAGCGCUCACCAUAGCACAUACCCUCCCCAAUGUCCAUCACCCAGCCACCCCAUCCCUCCCACACCCCAUCCACUCCAGCAACCCUCUUUGUUUCCUGAGAUUAAGAGUCUCUUAUGGUUUGUCUCCUUCUCUGGUUUUGUCUUGUUUCAUUUUUCCCUCCCUUCCCCUAUGAUCCUCUGUCUUGUUUCUCAAAUUCCUCAUAUCGGUGAGAUCAUAUGAUAAUUAUCUUUCUCUGAUUGACUUAUUUUGCUACAUCUUAAUGUAUUUUAACAAAUGCAUAGGGGCGCCUGGGUGGCUCAGUCAAUUAAGCACCUGCCUUCGGCUCAGGUCAUGAUCUUCAGGUCCCGGGAUCGAGCCCCGCAUUGGGCUCCCUGCUCAGCAGGGAGUCUGCUUCUCUCUCUUUCUCUCCCUCCCUCCCCGUCUGCCCCUCCCCAUUGCUUGUUCUCUCUCUCAAAUAAAUAAAUAAAAUCUUUAAAAAAAAUGCAUAGACCUGUGUAGCUUAUACCCUUAUCAAGACAUGAAACACUUCUAUCACCUCAGAAAAUUCCCUCCUGUCCCUUCCCAAUCAAUCCCCAUCCUCAGACCUCAAGAUGCAACCAUUGUUCUGAUUUUCCUACC
Mirounga angustirostris (Northern elephant seal) is the source of this 2457-nucleotide long non-coding RNA. RefSeq lists it as uncharacterized. The transcript has 4 exons. Lineage: Eukaryota; Metazoa; Chordata; Mammalia; Carnivora; Phocidae. The record is from RefSeq and is a predicted model, not a curated record.